This 1039-nucleotide long non-coding RNA is filed under the name Elaeis guineensis (African oil palm). Its description in RNAcentral is "long non-coding RNA (EGUI_LNC002050)". The record is from RNAcentral. Lineage: Eukaryota; Viridiplantae; Streptophyta; Magnoliopsida; Arecales; Arecaceae.
UGCUACUUUUACUGUCUAUGCCAUUCUCCACAUUCCGCUAUGCUCCACUGACAACAAUCAUGCAGUAUAAUAUCCUGUGUCACAAUCAACACUUUCAACGUUGAUGAUAAUCCUGAAAGACGUGCUGCUUAUACCAUGAAAACAUCCAUCUAUCAUUGACUUUUUAGGACAUCAAGGCUUAAUUGACAAUGUCAACUAAAUUGUGCCUUGAUUGGUUCAACGUGGAAAUGCCUAUAGAGAUUGUGAGUGAGGUUCACCAUCGCAGUACUGGACUUGGUACUGGUGCCAUGCUAGUAAAAUGAUGGUACGCCCAGUAUGGGGAUCAGUUUGGCAUCCCAAGAAUUGGUACACCCCGCCAUAGCGAAUCUCAAUUUGGUACUAGUGUGGUACAAUAUUGCUUGGUACAAGAAGUUUGUACUGGGACGGUGAAUCUUGGUUUUGAGUUUGCAAAUUCUCACAAUUCAUUAAUAUUGUUCCUCCAAGUUUGAGAGAUAGUACUUGGGGAAAAAAAAUUGUUUUUUGGGUCUAUAGUAGGAGUAUGUAUGUAAGGAGAUUGUUAGUGUAACACGUACAUGUAUCAGUGGCAUACUUUAUGCUGCUUGAUGAGUAGAUGGACUGUAUGAAAGCAACUCAAAUCAGCCACUAAACCUUUUUUUGUUUGCCCAUGAUAGUAAUUCAAGGAAAAGAGUGCUUUAUAAAAAGUGUAUCGUGUUGGGAGAGUAAUGUCAUCCUCUCGAAGGAUGAUAGCAGCAGGAUUAUUAUGCCUACUGGAAAGAGCUCUAAGCGACAACAAAUAGGCCUGUGACAUGUUUCAAUUGCCUGUGACAAUGCAAGUGGUUAUCAUGGCACUUCUUAUAGCUUCCCUUUCCGUCACUUUAUCUUUUUUUAGGACCAGUGUCAAGUUGUCUUUUCUGCUGUGCAAGUAAACCUAGAAAAGGAAACUAGAAAGCCAUUAAUCAAUAGAUAUUGCACUGGGAAAUGCUUAAUUUAUAAUUUAUAGUUCUUGUAUUCUUAUUAUUUAUUGAUGCAAUCCAUACAC